Molecule: ribosomal RNA, 492 nt
Filed under: uncultured bacterium
Lineage: Bacteria
Description: partial 16S ribosomal RNA
Rfam family: Bacterial small subunit ribosomal RNA
Source: RNAcentral
AGUGAACGCUGGCGGUAUGCCUAACACAUGCAAGUCGAACGGUAACACAGCAACAGCUUGCUCUUACGGGUGGCCGGUGGCGUAAGGGAGAGGAAAGCAACCGAACCUACUUUUUCGUGAGGGCUAAGGUAGGGAAAUUUACGCUAAUAUCGCAGAAGGCCUACGGGGGAAAGCAGGGGAUCUUCGGACCUUGCGGGAUUGAAUGAGCCGAUGUCGGAUUAGCUAGUUGGCGGGGUAAAGGCCCACCAAGGCGACGAUCCGUAGCUGGUCUGAGAGGAUGAUCAGCCACACUGGAACUGAGACACGGUCCAGACUCCUACGGGAGGCAGCAGUGGGGAAUAUUGGACAAUGGGCGCAAGCCUGAUCCAGCCAUACCGCGUGGGUGAAGAAGGCCUUCGGGUUGUAAAGACCUUUUGUUGGGAAAGAAAAGCAUCAGGCUAAUACCCAGCGGUUCUGACGGUACCCAAAGAAUAAGCACCGGCUAACUACGUG